CCAUCGCUUCCGCAGGCUGUUGAAUAUUUUUAUACUUUUGUUUAUAUUUCAGUUUAUUUUAUCAAAUAUUUAUUUCAAUAGAUUGAAAUACCUUUACCUAACCAAGCCACAUGUGUCAGUAUCAUCUUUUAUUGUUUAUCAAUCAAUUGUGGUAGCUGGAAACUGGAAAGCCUCAUGGUUGUCUAAUGCAAGAUCAAUGAGAUUGUCUUAUCAAUAUCAUUAUGUAGAUUCUAACAUGAAUUGUGAUGUGGACGGUGGGCAUCUUUCGUCACCGCUGGUCCAGCCACAGCUCACUGCCCAGCUCUCCAGGACCCAGUCGGGCGCGCACCGGUCUCAGUGGCAGCCAGCGCUCGGCCAGCACGCGGUCCCUGACCGGCCGACUGGAGUCGCCUCAGCCGGACCGCCGCCACCUCAGCCCGGCCCCCAGUCCACUGGCGCCGCGCCGGCUGCACUAGCGUCUACCCCACCGGCAGCUCUGGUGCUCAGCCGAACGGCUGGGUACACAGACACAGAGGUCCCCACACGCAGCUACACCGCCUAGUCUGGGGAGUCAGAUGAGAUCCUUCCACCAUGUAACACUGCAACACAAUGAAAUGCGCGUUUUUGUUGUCUCUGCCUCUUUUAUGGGACGCUCAAUUAUAGCUCAACUAGUUAUCACGUGUAUCUUUUGUUGUUGCGAAACUGCUGCAUUUUUGGUUUUGCGUUGUUGAUACCGUUACUUAUUGUUACACUUGUUGAUGAUAGAGUAAUUAUAUAUUCUUAUUGUUGUUAAUCUAAUGGCACUUCUAUCACAAAUCGAUGUUAAACACUGUUCGCUGUUCUCUAUUCUUAAGCAUAGAUUUCACUGUCAUUGCUUGUACCUACUGACCGAUUUUCUGCAACCUUCUUCUUCAGCAGGGCAAUAGAGCAGCGUUUCCCUCGAAAAAAAAUAAAUAACAACAUGCUUCAAA
Long non-coding RNA from Amphibalanus amphitrite, 950 nucleotides. RefSeq lists it as uncharacterized. The transcript has 2 exons. The record is from RefSeq and is a predicted model, not a curated record. NCBI's taxonomy places the organism in Eukaryota, Metazoa, Arthropoda, Thecostraca, Balanomorpha, Balanidae.